CUUCCAGAAUGUCACAUCCCUCGGGGACUCCAGGAAGGUGGUUGUUAAGUCGACGUUGGUACGGAGUUCCAUUCCUGGGAUAUCAUCUUAAGGAAAUGAGCAUCAACACACGUGAAAAUUUCCAUACACGAAUUUCCAAGGCAGCAUUAUUUAAGAGCAGAAACGAUCUCAACGUCCCACACUCGGAGCGUGGUGAGCCCAGUUGCGCUGUAGGCAUAUUACGGAACGCCAUGUGGCCGUCAGAAGUGAUGCUCUAAAGACAAAUAAACUAUAUGGAAGAUCGAGAUGGUUGUGUGUUAAAUGGAAAAAAACGUGCAAAGCUAUAGAGAGUGCAUGAUCCAAAUGUAAUUAAGAAUAUUUGUAUGUAAAAAGUUUGGAAUAAAAUGCCGUAAUGUA
Felis catus (domestic cat) is the source of this 396-nucleotide long non-coding RNA. RefSeq lists it as uncharacterized. The record is from RefSeq and is a predicted model, not a curated record. The transcript has 2 exons. Lineage: Eukaryota; Metazoa; Chordata; Mammalia; Carnivora; Felidae.